Molecule: long non-coding RNA, 2448 nt
Filed under: Elaeis guineensis (African oil palm)
Lineage: Eukaryota; Viridiplantae; Streptophyta; Magnoliopsida; Arecales; Arecaceae
Description: long non-coding RNA (EGUI_LNC003266)
Source: RNAcentral
CUCUAUAGAUCCCUGAUUAAACAACAGUGCCAAGGUCAGUCUGGGUAAUGCAUAUUGAACAUAAAAGUUACCAAGUCUGUGUAUCCAGUCAUUUGGUUAUAAAAAGAACAAACAUAAACAUAGUUCUAGUGAAUUUAAUUAUUUGACUUCUGAAAAACACUUAAUUUGAAGAAUGAUAAUCAGUUUUUCUUGAUAACUUGGAGUUUUACAUCUCUGGAGUUCCAUUGGAGCCUGUUGCCUGACAUUUAUCUUCAUUGCAGGCACUAAUGUCAAUGGAGCAAGAAUUCUUACAUCCUUCAUCGCCUAUUUCAUUUUGUGCAUGUCUUUAUGAAGUAUGGCCACAGUUGUUAAAGAUCUGGCGAUGGAAUGGAAGUUGCAGAGGAUGAGAGAGAUUCUUUACUCACCUGGUCUCUGCACCGAUUGAGCUGAUCUAUUUUCAUGUACAGCAGUUGUUUUUUGGCCAAUGUUUUUCUUGAUUCUGGACACAGGGGAGUGGUUUAUUUUCGAGUCAGGGAUUGAGCCCUGGAUAUGGCACGAGAACCCCCACUGGAUAUCACCAGAACACAGUAGGAAUGAUCAAAUGAUGCAAAUACCCAUCUGUCUGACCAUUUCUCACUGUAUAUUCAAGUUGGUGAUAUGGGUAUCUCAUCAUCCCAAGUUACAGAAUGCAUCAUUGAAAGCUAGAAGGCUGUUGAUAAGUCAGUUCUUAAGCUUCAGGUUGUCCGAAAUCACUAGAUGCCAUUCACCAUCCUUCUUGUCCUGUUUUUUUAGCAGUGCUGGCCUUGCAGAAUUUGUAUGCAGUAGUGACCGAAGAACUUGCCUCCACCACUUUUCGGCCUAUCUUAUUGUUGGCGGGUGCUUAGUGAAAGCAUGACUUUUUGGUGUGUAUAUAAAGAUGAGUGAUAGCCUACAAAUUAAUCCUAUUCGUGCCAUUUAAUUUUUAUGUAAGCCUUGGUGGAUAUUCGGUUUCAACAUAAAGUUUCUAAAGCUGGGGUGGUUGAUCGGUUGAUUUGUCUCUGUUAGCCAUUGGUUCAUGAAUUUUCAACUUGUAGCUGGAAAAGUAGAUUUUUGAAAAGGAAAUGUUAAGGGAAUGGGAUUAUAUAACUCAAGCAAAAAUGACAUUUUAGUUUAACUUAGGAACAGAGUUUGUUAUGUUGCUGUAAUAUAAAAAUUCUUGUCAACUGGGGGAGAAAAUAAAUUUAUGGUGGAUUGGCAUCUAAAUAACAAGUUCAAACAUAAGCUUUCCUUUUGUUUUAUUUCAGAAACAAUAAAUGCUAACUUUCCAAGUAGUUGCUGGUUAGCUUGCCGCCAGAAUUUUGGUAGAUUUCAUUUGCUUCAAUCCUGGUGUGGACAAUCUUACUAACUAUAAAAAUGAGGAGCAGCAGCAGCAGCAACAUUUUAGCAGCAGCCAUUCCAAACUGCAAAAUAGCCAUGUCCCAUUAGCUCUUGCUUUAUUCCCUAUAUCUGUAAUACGGCAUUGAACUGAGAUCCGAAGUGCAUUGCUACGAUAAUUUGAUUAAACAUUUAUGACGAACUUGAAUCUGUGGGGCUUUUCAGUGCAUUUGAGUAGAUAAAUUAGAAAAUGAAGUAAACAGAGAUUGCGGACAAAUUUCAUCACAAAAGCUGCUCGGUUGACUUCAGAACAAGCCUAGAGAACAUGGUGUGGAGGGCUAGCAGUUUUAGCAGCUGGUCAUAAGAACAAGCUCAGAUGAUAAAGCGAGUUUUAUUGGCUAAACCAGUGGGUGUCAGGUCUGCUGUUAUGCUAAUCUGUUAUUUUCUUGCCAACAAUUCAAAGACUUUGGUUGGUUAGGCACAAAACAGGGAAAGCUGUAUCUAUUUGGUGUCUUUGUACUCAAGUUUCUGCUCAAUUAAUUGUUUUAUCUACAUCAUAAACUAUUUAUCCAAAUGCAAAAGAUCAAAAUGCUCCAGCUAAGUACAUCAGCCCAGCAACAAAUUUUCACUAGUAUGAAACUAUCAACAUUCUACUUUAUGUUCAUCAUUUUCAUUUAUAAGUUUCAAAAAUCAGAAGUUUCUCCAACUUACAAAUUUCUAAGAUGCCACCAUCUUCUUGGAGGAGAUUCUUCAACAAGUUUAUCCAAGGAUAAAGUGGAAGGUCCUUUGUGCUGCUCCGCUGGUUGCCGGUGCAAGAGAGGCGAGGUCUCUGGCGAUGAGUGAUCAGGCGAUGAGAAUGGUGGUGAUGGUGAUAGUGAAGGAGAGAAGGGAUACUUGUGAUUGCCUGGUCCAACACUGAUGGGUAGAGGAGACGGUGGUGUUGGAGGAGAUGAGGAAGGUGAGGAGGCUAAAUCAGGCCUCAUUUGGGGGAUAUGAAGAAGGUGGAGAGAGUUUUCAGCUAGGAUAUUUUCUCAAGGGCUUGAGGUGGUGAAGAGAUUUCCCUUCCCCUUGGCUGAGUUUUCUCCUGCUAUGAGUGAAUGGUUUUUGUUCCUUCUG